RNAcentral lists this small RNA (17 nucleotides) under Arabidopsis thaliana (thale cress). RNAcentral's name for it is "ATSL253730". Lineage: Eukaryota; Viridiplantae; Streptophyta; Magnoliopsida; Brassicales; Brassicaceae. The record is from RNAcentral.
AGAAGAGGAAGAAGAAC